Solea solea (common sole) is the source of this 1464-nucleotide RNA transcript. It is a transcript of the gene named small nuclear ribonucleoprotein polypeptide A, with no coding region annotated. The transcript has 7 exons. The record is from RefSeq and is a predicted model, not a curated record. NCBI's taxonomy places the organism in Eukaryota, Metazoa, Chordata, Actinopteri, Pleuronectiformes, Soleidae.
UUAAUCUUAUUUUCUUGAGUGUAGUAAGAGGUUUGCUGCUAAUGUGUGAGUGUAGACCGCACAGUUGGGCGAGAUUUUGCGUCAUCGUGGAACUCGGCAUUAAUUACAGAUGCGUUUGACUAGUUGCAAAACAUUAGCUGUAGCUAGCUUUUAGGCUAACGUCCACACCACGUUAGUUGACUGGUUUGCUAACGUUAGCUUGCCGUUAGCAGUGCGUAUAAUUGGUUUAAGAAGACAAUUUGAAGUUAAUUUUGUAAUUCAAACUCUCAUCAGCAACUUGGAAGAUGACCACACCGGAUGUACGCCUCAAUCAUACAAUCUACAUCAACAACUUGAACGAGAAAAUCAAGAAAGAUGAGCUGAAGAAAUCUCUGUACGCAAUCUUCUCACAAUUCGGACAAAUUUUGGACAUCUUGGUCGCACGAAACGUGAAGAUGAAGGGUCAGGCCUUUGUCAUCUUUAAAGAGGUUAACAGCGCCUCUAAUGCUCUGAGAUCCAUGCAGGGGUUUCCUUUUUACGACAAACCCAUGCGCAUCCAGUAUGCAAAGCUGGACUCGGACAUCAUAGCUAAAAUGAAGGGCACUUAUGUGGAGCGUGACCGUAAAAAGGAGAAGAAGAAGCCCAAACCUGAAACAACUGGAGCUAAGAAGGGUGUACCAGGAGCACCUGCAUCCAUGGUUGCUGGGGUCCCUGCUGCCAUGCCUGGAAUGCCUCCAAUGAGCCAGGCUCCCCGCAUGAUGCACAUGCCAGGCCAGCCACCUUACAUGCCCCCUCCAGGUAUGAUGCCUCCUCCAGGGAUGGCACCUGGUCAGAUGCCUCCUGGUGCCCUGGCUCCUGGUCAGAUGAUGCCCGGACAGAUGCCAGGACAAAUGCCUCAGCAGGUUGCAGAAAAUCCACCCAAUCACAUCCUCUUCCUCACCAACCUUCCAGAGGAGACGAACGAGCUCAUGCUCUCCAUGCUCUUCAACCAGUUUCCUGGGUUCAAAGAGGUACGUCUGGUCCCUGGUCGUCACGACAUCGCCUUUGUGGAGUUUGAGAAUGAAGUGCAAGCCGGCGCUGCACGAGAUGCACUACAAGGCUUUAAGAUCACACAAACGAAUGCAAUGAAGAUUUCGUUUGCUAAGAAAUAACCACUCUCAGGACUAGUCAUUUUCUGCCAUAAUACCCCCCACACACACACACACACACACACACACACACACACACACACACACACACACACACACACACACACACACACACACACACACACACACACACACAGGUCUUUUUUUAAAUCAGUUUUAGAAAUAUACUGGAUUGGUGGCGGAUUUUUUUCUCCCUCCGGGAUUACAUUUGGACUUUUCUUCUUGUUGAUGUCUGUCAUAAAGCAUUGCACCCAGAGUCUGGUCCACCAGACACUGUACCUGGAGCUUUUUCUUUUUUUAAAUAAAACUUGUGAUGAUGCUCUUCACAUAAAACAUA